AUUGUGGGAAUGAGUGAGGAGUCAAGACCCCCAUCUCACUUUUAAUGUGAAUCUUGUGAUGCCCCAGACCCUGUCUGAGCCACCAGAGGGGCACCCUGCUGGACUCUGCCUGGGCCCUGUGAUUAAUGGGAGUGACAGGAGGCCAGGCUCUUCUAGAAAACAGGCUGGAGGUGAAAACAAGUAGACAGUGAAUCAUUAGCUGGGAAUACACCCCCCACUGCUCUAUCUGGAGUCUCUCACCAUUUCCGUGGCAGUCUGGAGUUGUUUGUGAGAAGCCGUGAAUCAAAGCAAGAGAUUCCCAGCUAAAAGCUAGGCUGGAUGGCGGGCGCGGACUGCCUUGGCCAGGAACUGCUGCUCUACAUAUGAAGCAUGGAGAAUGAGCUCCCAAACUCUCAGCAUGAUCUAAAGAUGGACAGAGCAAGCCUGUCACUGAGAAAAUGAGCAUCAGGGUUGCUCUGGAUUAUAUGUGGGUGUGGGCAUGGGUAUGUGCUACACUUACUGCAUACAGGGAGACGAGUCCACUGUGCUCAUCUAAAGACAUGUUUAUUCAACAGAGUUUGCUUCCCUUGAGAUCUGGUUAACAUCCUGAAUAAUAAAAUGUCAUGUGCUUGGUAAA
Molecule: long non-coding RNA, 616 nt
Organism: Peromyscus maniculatus bairdii (prairie deer mouse)
Lineage: Eukaryota; Metazoa; Chordata; Mammalia; Rodentia; Cricetidae
Source: RefSeq, a predicted model, not a curated record